UACUCUUGACAUCCUGCGAACUUUCGAGAGAUCGAUUGGUGCCUUCGGGAACGCAGAGACAGGUGCUGCAUGGCUGUCGUCAGCUCGUGUUGUGAAAUGUUGGGUUAAGUCCCGUAACGAGCGCAACCCUUGUCCUUAGUUGCCAUCAUUUAGUUGGGGACUCUAAGGAGACUGCCGGUGACAAACCGGAGGAAGGCGGGGACGACGUCAAGUCAUCAUGGCCCUUACGAGUAGGGCUACACACGUGCUACAAUGGCCGGUACAGAGGGUCGCGAAGCCGCGAGGUGGAGCUAAUCUCAUAAAGCCGAUCGUAGUCCGGAUUGGAGUCUGCAACUCGACUCCAUGAAGUCGGAAUCGCUAGUAAUCGUGAAUCAGAAUGUCACGGUGAAUACGUUCCCGGGCCU
RNAcentral lists this ribosomal RNA (404 nucleotides) under uncultured bacterium. RNAcentral describes it as "bacterial SSU rRNA". It matches the Rfam family "Bacterial small subunit ribosomal RNA", at positions 976 to 1381 of the family's 1533-position model. The record is from RNAcentral.